UAAUUCUAAGUCCAUUAAGUAGACAAGAGC
RNAcentral lists this non-coding RNA (30 nucleotides) under Mus musculus (house mouse). Lineage: Eukaryota; Metazoa; Chordata; Mammalia; Rodentia; Muridae. The record is from RNAcentral.